This 116-nucleotide ribosomal RNA is filed under the name uncultured bacterium. RNAcentral describes it as "partial 16S ribosomal RNA". It matches the Rfam family "Bacterial small subunit ribosomal RNA", at positions 1357 to 1482 of the family's 1533-position model. The record is from RNAcentral.
ACGCGGUGAAUACGUUCCCGGACCUUGUACACACCGCCCGUCAAGCCAUGGGAGUCGGGGAGACCUGAAGCGGUAGGUUAAAGACACCGUUAGGGUAAAACUCGGCGACUGGGGCU